RNAcentral lists this transfer-messenger RNA (358 nucleotides) under Spongiibacter tropicus. RNAcentral describes it as "Standard tmRNA". It matches the Rfam family "transfer-messenger RNA". From Rfam's summary of the family: Bacterial tmRNA, also known as 10Sa RNA or SsrA, is named for its dual tRNA and mRNA-like properties. Its role is to liberate the mRNA from a stalled ribosome. To accomplish this part of the tmRNA is used as a reading frame that ends in a translation stop signal. RNAcentral also lists the same sequence under 1 other name. The record is from RNAcentral. Lineage: Bacteria; Pseudomonadati; Pseudomonadota; Gammaproteobacteria; Cellvibrionales; Spongiibacteraceae.
GGGGCCGUUUUGGAUUCGACGCCGGUUACAAAACUCUGUGGUGCAUGCCGUGAUGACAGCCAAUCACGUUAAUCCAAAGCUGUACUCUAUAUAGUUGCCAACGACGACAACUACGCUCUAGCGGCUUAAACCCCGCUAGCAGUCCCAGCAAGGUGCCCAUACCGCGCGAAGGACUGUCAUAUAGAAUGGGAUCGCAACAAGGUAUGUUCUGGGCCGCGUUGUUAAACUUAUACAGAACUCGCUGACUGCGUCCUGACCGUUGGGCUGCAGAAGGCUAAAUCAAUAAACGGAAGCUAAGCAUGUAGAGCCCUGAGCGGCGGACUGGCGGACGGGGGNUCAAUUCCCCCCGGCUCCACCA